This 822-nucleotide long non-coding RNA is filed under the name Setaria viridis. Its description in RNAcentral is "long non-coding RNA (SVIR_LNC010066)". Lineage: Eukaryota; Viridiplantae; Streptophyta; Magnoliopsida; Poales; Poaceae. The record is from RNAcentral.
CAAUGUGUGAAUUCAUUAAGUCAUGACUGAACAAGGCAUCAGUCAUCACAUAUAAACAUGCAACGCACCAACACAUGUUAAUUUACGCUUUCGUUGACACAUCCAUUGCAACAUAUACACAGUGAAUGCAACGCCUAUAAAAGCGAUGGUAACAUGACACUAAGACCAAGUGAUAGAAAUAAACCACUCAUUAUGUUCACAGUGAAUGCAACACCUAUAAAAUGUGUUGAUAAUUAAACAAGAAAACAUGUACUACUGCAGCGAAUUGUACCACCUACUCAAUGUAAAAAUGCGCAAAAUUUAUCACAAUGUGUGCAUUCAAGAAGUUAUGGCUGAACUAGGAAUCAGUCAUCACAAAUAGGCUGCAAUGCACCAACACAUGUUUAUCUACGCUUUCGUUGACGCAUCCAUUGCAACAUAUACACAGUGAAUGCAACGCCUAUAAAAGCGAUGGUAACAUGACACUAAGACCAAGUGAUAGAAGUAAACCACUCAUUAUGUUCACAGUGAAUGCAAAACCUAUAAAAUGUGUUUAUAAUUAAACAAGAAAACAUGUACUACUGCAGCAAAUUGUACCAACUACUCAAUGUAAAAAUGUGCAAAAUUUAUCACAAUGUGUGCAUUCAAGAAGUAAUGGCUGAACUAGAAAUCAGUCAUCACAAAUAGGCUGCAAUGCACCAACACAUGUUUAUAUACGCUUUCGUUGACGCAUCCAUUGCAACAUAUACGCAGUGAAUGCAACGCCUAUAAAAGCGAUAAUAGCAAAAAACUAGGACCAACUGAUUGGGGUAAACAAUUAAACCGCGACCAGAGAUCGGAUCA